This 803-nucleotide ribosomal RNA is filed under the name uncultured bacterium. Its description in RNAcentral is "bacterial SSU rRNA". It matches the Rfam family "Bacterial small subunit ribosomal RNA", at positions 1 to 809 of the family's 1533-position model. The record is from RNAcentral.
GAAUUCGCCCUUAGAGUUUGAUCCUGGCUCAGGACGAACGCUGGCGGCGUGCCUAACACAUGCAAGUCGAACGGAGAUGUUUAUUUCGGUAGACAUCUUAGUGGCGCACGGGUGAGUAACGCGUGAAUAACCUGACCCGAAGAGGGGGAUAACACCUGGAAACAAGUGCUAAUACCGCAUAAGACCACGGACCGGCAUCGGUCAGAGGUCAAAGGAGGAAUCCGCUUUGGGAGGGGUUCGCGUCCCAUUAGGUAGUUGGUGAGGGUAACGGCCCACCAAGCCGACGAUGGGUAGCCGAGCUGAGAGGCUGAUCGGCCACACUGGAACUGAGACACGGUCCAGACUCCUACGGGAGGCAGCAGUGGGGAAUAUUGGGCAAUCGGCGCAAGCCUGACCCAGCAACGCCGCGUGAGGGAAGAAAGUUUUCGGAUUGUAAACCUCUGUCGCAGGGGACGAAGGAAGUGACGGUACCCUGUAAGAAAGCCCCGGCUAACUAUGUGCCAGCAGCCGCGGUAAUACGUAGGGGGCGAGCGUUGUCCGGAAUUACUGGGCGUAAAGGGAGCGUAGGCGGUCGAUUAAGUUAGAUGUGAAACCCCCGGGCUUAACUUGGGGACUGCAUCUAAUACUGGUUGACUUAGAGUACAGGAGAGGGAAGCGGAAUUCCUAGUGUAGCGGUGAAAUGCGUAGAUAUUAGGAGGAACACCAGUGGCGAAGGCGGCUUUCUGGACUGACACUGACGCUGAGGCUCGAAAGCGUGGGGAGCAAACAGGAAUAGAUACCCUGGUAGUCCACGCUGUAAACGA